AUUUCUUCUGCCUUUUUCAAGAUAAUUAGUUCAGAAGGUUUAUGUUUUCAAUUUCACAUAUCCUUGCAUUUUCCUGUUCAAGUUUUGAUCCAUAUGGAUAUCUUAAAUAUGCCUAUCAUUGCAAGUUUAUUUUAGAAG
RNAcentral lists this small RNA (138 nucleotides) under Cebus imitator (Panamanian white-faced capuchin). RNAcentral's name for it is "sRNA (ENSCCAG00000009414.1)". The record is from RNAcentral. Lineage: Eukaryota; Metazoa; Chordata; Mammalia; Primates; Cebidae.